UUCGUAGGUGGUGCGGCAAGUUGGAAGUGAAAUCUCUGGGCUUAACCCAGAGGCUGCUUUCAAAACUGCCGCGCUCGAGUGCGAGAGAGGUCAGUGGAAUUGCAGGUGUAGCGGUGAAAUGCGUAGAUAUCUGCAGGAACACCCGUGGCGAAGGCGGCUGACUGGGUCGCAACUGACACUGAGGAACGAAAGCUAGGGGAGCAAACAGGAUUAGAUACCCUGGUAGUCCUAGCCCUAAACCAUCGGAACUUGGGGUGGCCCGCGUAGGCGGGUCGUCCCGUAGCUAACGCGUUAAGUUCCGCGCCUGGGGAGUACGGUCGCAAGACUGAA
Molecule: ribosomal RNA, 330 nt
Filed under: uncultured bacterium
Lineage: Bacteria
Description: bacterial SSU rRNA
Rfam family: Bacterial small subunit ribosomal RNA
Source: RNAcentral